This 527-nucleotide ribosomal RNA is filed under the name uncultured bacterium. RNAcentral describes it as "bacterial SSU rRNA". It matches the Rfam family "Bacterial small subunit ribosomal RNA", at positions 777 to 1304 of the family's 1533-position model. The record is from RNAcentral.
AAUAGAUACCCCGGUAGUCCACGCCGUAAACGAUGUCGACUUGGAGGUUGUGCCCUUGAGGCGUGGCUUCCGGAGCUAACGCGUUAAGUCGACCGCCUGGGGAGUACGGCCGCAAGGUUAAAACUCAAAUGAAUUGACGGGGGCCCGCACAAGCGGUGGAGCAUGUGGUUUAAUUCGAUGCAACGCGAAGAACCUUACCUACUCUUGACAUCCACGGAAUUUAGCAGAGAUGCUUUAGUGCCUUCGGGAACCGUGAGACAGGUGCUGCAUGGCUGUCGUCAGCUCGUGUUGUGAAAUGUUGGGUUAAGUCCCGCAACGAGCGCAACCCUUAUCCUUUGUUGCCAGCGGUUAGGCCGGGAACUCAAAGGAGACUGCCAGUGAUAAACUGGAGGAAGGUGGGGAUGACGUCAAGUCAUCAUGGCCCUUACGAGUAGGGCUACACACGUGCUACAAUGGCAUAUACAAAGAGAAGCGACCUCGCGAGAGCAAGCGGACCUCAUAAAGUAUGUCGUAGUCCGGAUUGGAGU